UCGGACAUGGUGUAUUGUACACGGCCUCCCAACAUGUGUCAUUGGUGGCAUACAAAAUUGUUGGAGGCAGACCGGGGUUCGACUCCCCGUGUCCGAA
Non-coding RNA from Mycena leptocephala, 97 nucleotides. Lineage: Eukaryota; Fungi; Basidiomycota; Agaricomycetes; Agaricales; Mycenaceae. The record is from the annotation of a GenBank genome assembly.